Molecule: transfer RNA, 72 nt
Organism: Rhizoclosmatium globosum
Lineage: Eukaryota; Fungi; Chytridiomycota; Chytridiomycetes; Chytridiales; Chytriomycetaceae
Rfam family: tRNA
About the family: Transfer RNA (tRNA) molecules are approximately 80 nucleotides in length.
Source: Rfam
GACUCCUUGGCGCAACGGUAGCGCGUUCGUCUCCAAAGCGAAAGGUUGCGUGUUCAAAUCACGUAGGGGUCA